This 245-nucleotide ribosomal RNA is filed under the name uncultured bacterium. Its description in RNAcentral is "partial 16S ribosomal RNA". It matches the Rfam family "Bacterial small subunit ribosomal RNA", at positions 524 to 768 of the family's 1533-position model. The record is from RNAcentral.
UACGUAGGGGGCAAGCGUUGUCCGGAAUUACUGGGUGUAAAGGGAGUGUAGGCGGGUAUUUAAGUCAGAUGUGAAAACCACGGGCUCAACUUGUGGACUGCAUUUGAAACUGGAUAUCUUGAGUGCAGGAGAGGAAAGUGGAAUUCCUAGUGUAGCGGUGAAAUGCGUAGAUAUUAGGAGGAACACCAGUGGCGAAGGCGGCUUUCUGGACUGUAACUGACGCUGAGGCUCGAAAGUGUGGGGAG